ACGCAUGCAGUCGAGCGGCAGCGACAACAUUGAACCUUCGGGGGAUCUGUUGGGCGGCGAGCGGCGGACGGGUGAGUAAUGCCUGGGAAAUUGCCCUGAUGUGGGGGAUAACCAUUGGAAACGAUGGCUAAUACCGCAUGAUAGCUUCGGCUCAAAGAGGGGGACCUUCGGGCCUCUCGCGUCAGGAUAUGCCCAGGUGGGAUUAGCUAGUUGGUGAGGUAAGGGCUCACCAAGGCGACGAUCCCUAGCUGGUCUGAGAGGAUGAUCAGCCACACUGGAACUGAGACACGGUCCAGACUCCUACGGGAGGCAGCAGUGGGGAAUAUUGCACAAUGGGCGCAAGCCUGAUGCAGCCAUGCCGCGUGUAUGAAGAAGGCCUUCGGGUUGUAAAGUACUUUCAGCAGUGAGGAAGGGAGUAUCGUUAAUAGCGGUAUUCUUUGACGUUAGCUGCAGAAGAAGCACCGGCUAACUCCGUGCCAGCAGCCGCGGUAAUACGGAGGGUGCGAGCGUUAAUCGGAAUUACUGGGCGUAAAGCGCAUGCAGGUGGUUUGUUAAGUCAGAUGUGAAAGCCCGGGGCUCAACCUCGGAAUUGCAUUUGAAACUGGCAGGCUAGAGUACUGUAGAGGGGGGUAGAAUUUCAUGUGUAGCGGUGAAAUGCGUAGA
This 663-nucleotide ribosomal RNA is filed under the name uncultured bacterium. Its description in RNAcentral is "bacterial SSU rRNA". It matches the Rfam family "Bacterial small subunit ribosomal RNA", at positions 51 to 694 of the family's 1533-position model. The record is from RNAcentral.